RNAcentral lists this non-coding RNA (143 nucleotides) under Heterosigma akashiwo. The record is from RNAcentral. Lineage: Eukaryota; Raphidophyceae; Chattonellales; Chattonellaceae.
AAAUAAAAAAGAAGAAGAAAAAAGGGGGGUGUGGGCUAGUAGUCGUAGGUAGUAGUAUUUUUUCCCGGCUUUUUUUUUCUUCUUCUUCUUCUUCCUGCCCCAAGAAAAGAAAAGAAGAAAAUGAAGUGUCUAGUUAUUGAAAG